This 75-nucleotide transfer RNA is filed under the name Acidobacteriota bacterium. RNAcentral describes it as "Acidobacteria bacterium (permafrost metagenome) tRNA-His". It matches the Rfam family "tRNA". Rfam says of the family: Transfer RNA (tRNA) molecules are approximately 80 nucleotides in length. Their secondary structure includes four short double-helical elements and three loops (D, anti-codon, and T loops). Further hydrogen bonds mediate the characteristic L-shaped molecular structure. tRNAs have two regions of fundamental functional importance: the anti-codon, which is responsible for specific mRNA codon recognition, and the 3' end, to which the tRNAs corresponding amino acid is attached (by aminoacyl-tRNA synthetases). tRNAs cope with the degeneracy of the genetic code in two manners: having more than one tRNA (with a specific anti-codon) for a particular amino acid; and 'wobble' base-pairing, i.e. permitting non-standard base-pairing at the 3rd anti-codon position. Lineage: Bacteria; Pseudomonadati; Acidobacteriota. The record is from RNAcentral.
GUGAGUGUAGCUCAGCGGUAGAGCGCCGGACUGUGGCUCCGGAAGUCGCGGGUUCGACCCCCGUCACUCACCCCA